This is a long non-coding RNA of Cydia pomonella (codling moth), 787 nucleotides long. RefSeq lists it as uncharacterized. NCBI's taxonomy places the organism in Eukaryota, Metazoa, Arthropoda, Insecta, Lepidoptera, Tortricidae. The transcript has 3 exons. The record is from RefSeq and is a predicted model, not a curated record.
ACCAAUAUGUUAGUGUAUAUAUGAGCCAAAUGUGUCUUUAUUCGGAAUUGCCUAACCGCUGACAUACGUAGGUUGUCGCUGACACAAGUAAUAUGCGUUUAUGUAGCAGUAAACCAAAGCGUCGCUGCUAAACAUUGAAAGUGGCUAAUUGCCAUGUUUAACCUACGGAUGCCAGACAUGGGUCUUCACUGAGAAAGUUAAAGAAAAAAAAUCAUCUUGCCAACAUGCAAUGGAAAGAAGCCUUUUGAAAUUAAGAAGAAUAAAUUAAGUACGAAACACCGAAAGAAAACAAAACUGACAGACGCACUAUAGUUUAGUUUAAGACUAAAGUGGAGAUGGGCUGGAUAUUUGGCUAGAUACAAAGACAAGAGGUGGACUAUUCAAACAACCAAAUGGAAAGGUCCACUGGGCAAACGGAACUCAGGAAGACAAAGAAAGAGAUGGGUUGAUGACAUAAUAGCAAUAGCAGGAAAAAAUUGGGAUAAUACUGCUGAAGAUAGAGAAAAAUGGAAGAAGAUGGAGGAGGCUUUUACCCUCAAGGGAUCACACAUCAUAGAAUAUAAUAAAAGAAAAGUCAAUUUUAUAACAGAUGUGUGAGAACAAAGCUUAAAUAAAUAAAUUGCCAUAUUACAAUGAUACAGGUACCUGGUUCAGGUAGAUAGCUUGAAAUUUAGUAAGCACUAUAAUGAUAAUCGUGUAUAAUGCUUUUUUAAAUAAUAUCUAACCGAAUCCGGAUUUUUUGCUCAAACCGAAGGUUUGGUUUUGUCUCAGUAUCGGCCGAAAACUU